AACGAACGCUGGCGGCAUGCCUAACACAUGCAAGUCGAACGAGACCUUCGGGUCUAGUGGCGCACGGGUGCGUAACGCGUGGGAACCUGCCCUUAGGUUCGGAAUAACUCCCCGAAAGGGGUGCUAAUACCGGAUAAUGUCUUCGGACCAAAGAUUUAUCGCCUUUGGAUGGGCCCGCGUUGGAUUAGCUAGUUGGUAGGGGAAAAGCCUACCAAGGCGACGAUCCAUAGCUGGUCUGAGAGGAUGAUCAGCCACACUGGGACUGAGACACGGCCCAGACUCCUACGGGAGGCAGCAGUGGGGAAUAUUGGACAAUGGGCGCAAGCCUGAUCCAGCAAUGCCGCGUGAGUGAUGAAGGCCUUAGGGUUGUAAAGCUCUUUUACCCGGGAUGAUAAUGACAGUACCGGGAGAAUAAGCUCCGGCUAACUCCGUG
This 433-nucleotide ribosomal RNA is filed under the name uncultured bacterium. RNAcentral describes it as "partial 16S ribosomal RNA". It matches the Rfam family "Bacterial small subunit ribosomal RNA", at positions 29 to 507 of the family's 1533-position model. The record is from RNAcentral.